RNAcentral lists this long non-coding RNA (3073 nucleotides) under Homo sapiens (human). RNAcentral's name for it is "HSALNT0021185". The record is from RNAcentral. Lineage: Eukaryota; Metazoa; Chordata; Mammalia; Primates; Hominidae.
UUUUUGUAUUUUUUAAUUUUUGUUUUUGAUGAAGGGCUCAUGGCCGCGAAGGCCAAAAUGCCUAAAACCCACAAAAGUUACAAUGUAGCCCUAGGUACAAGAACUGUGUUAAGUGCUUUAUAUAGUACACGUUAUAUAAGUCCUCAUAAUGGUCCUGUUGUUCCCCUCAUGUAACAGGCAAAGAAACUGAGGCUUAGAGAGGUUGAGUCACUUACUCAAGGCCCCAUCUAAUGGGUUGGGGAGUUGGAAUUCCAGCUACCUCUUGCCUGACUCCAUAGUUCUUGUUCUUCCCCAUGGUCUGCAGAAACCUGAAGGACUUGGCGGCAGGAAAAAUUUGGUGGGGAACAUGUGUCUUCUCUCUUGCCUGCUCUGAUUUCUCAGGAGCAGGACCCAGGAGGGCAUCCGAGCCUCUGGCAGCUGAACCUCUGCAAACAGCAGUCACAGUGCAUUUCUGCAGGCUCUUGGAGCUGCUCCCUCUGCCUCGGCCAGAUGCGAAUUUGUGGCUUUUCCUUCUUGGCUCCUUUCCCCAGGUUUUCAUUCCUUUUAUUCUGGGAUGGAGCUGAAAUUUUUCCAACAGGGCCCAUGGUGGACACCCAGAAGUCAGUAGGGACUCCAAAAGGAAGUUAAGGCCGGGGAAGGGGGCCAGGAAGAGGGAGACCAGCCUAAAGUACACAACACUCAAUUCUUCAUUACUCACAUGUGGCCUGACCGCUGGUGGACUGGCUCCAGGAAAAUCUGAACCCUGGGCUGAGCCUCCCCGCCGGCUGGCCAGGACAGACCUGGAUGCCCUCCACCCUCCAGCCAAACUUAUUUUUUUCAUAUCAUAGCUGCAGAAUAUUCGGACCCUCUAGUCCCAGCCGCCCAGUGAACUUGAGCUGUGUGACCUUGAGCAAAAGGCAAAAUGUUUCUGAUUUUCAGUCCCCUCAUCUGGAAAAGGAGGAGGCUGUGGGACAUGAUGAUCUUUGAAAGUCUAAUAAUGAAACAAACAGAAAACCUGUGCUUCUAAGUUGGUGAGUCUGGAAAGGUACGUCUGUUGCUUAGGAAAAAAAGUCCCAAAUCCCAAAGAGCCCCUUUUGGCAAGUGUUGUACUUAAGACAAUCCGGGCGCUGCCCCUCCUGAGGCGGGGGGGACUCGAGGACCGGCUUUAGCAGAAGUUCCUCCCGCAGAACAACUCGGACGACGACGCCUCGGAGGAUCCGGGGAGCUUUGGAGGAGGCGAUGGCGGAGCAGGGCGGGUGGCAGCGCAGGCGUGGGAGGGACAGGUGGCCCGUUCGCGUCAAGUCAGGGCGCCCCCUCCUGGGACACCUGUGCCCCGCCUAGUCCCAGGGCCCAGUCCCGGGGCAGACACUGGCCGAGCCCGGAGCCUCUUCGCGUCCCCUCCCACCCAGACCAGGCCGGCGUUUCCCCCGGGCCCCCGCGCGGCUCCGGCCCGCGGAAGUCGCGCGUUCUUUCUUUCCCCCUCGUUAGUCGAGCUGAAACCUGAUCGUGGAAAGUCUGGGGCGGGUGUCAGACCCGGCCAGCUCUGGCUCCCAGCGCCUGGGGCGAUUCCUGCUGGAGGAACCCGGGCGGGGCCCGCCAAGGGGGCAGGAGGUCGGACACCUCGGGAACAGGCCUCUUUGUCUCUGUGCGGCUUCUCCCGUGGAACAGCACCCACCUUCCUAGGCACCUGCAGACCUGUGUUCUAUAUACGUGCAAAUAGCCAGAGAUGAGGACAUCUGGACCUGGUGCCUCCCCAGGGAAGUGGCUUCCAAAUAUUCCCCCCUUUCCUGGUCAUGAGGACCUGGUAGACAGUAAAAGCAGGGCCAAUGAUCCCAGCUUCAUAUUCUUGUCUGGGACAGUCCAUUUUAACCUGGCCUACCCACUCACACUUCACUUGGAGCAAAAGUAAAAACAAUAAAACACUUUUAUGCUCGAGGAACCAGAUAAAUCCUAGUAAUUGAUCUCAGGAGAGGGAUUAUUAAGGGGCUAAGUGCAAUGCUUUCCAGAACCGGGGGUGUAAUAAGCAUGAAGCCAAACAAAUGCGCAAUUUGUUAUCUGUAUUUCAUCACUUAAUGCAUUGCAAGCAACGGGUUUGAAAAUGGCUUUUCUCCAGGAGGGGAGAAGGCACUAAAAUAGCUGUAACACAUCCAUUGACAGUUCUGUUGCUGAAAAAUGUCAUCAUUCUCCAUGGCUCACACUGUCAGCCGUGCUCAGAAGGGUCAGAAUAUUCCCACUCUGCCAUUUUUGGGGACAGAUUCCCCUCCACUUUAGCCAAUGUACAAUGCUAAAAGAGACAACUCUCAAGGUCUUUCCCGCUGUAACCCUACACUUACGAAGAAAUAACAAAGUAACCAGCAAGGAUAUCGAACUGCCCUGGACCCAUAGAUAAGAAAGGCUUUCCCUGUCCUAGACAAGAGUGAAGAAGGAAAGAUAUCAAAGAUAUCUACCGGUUCAGUUGGGUGAGACCUAAGAAUUACAGCAUCCAAAAUAAUAGCUAAUCUUUAUCAAGAUCCUACUAUCCUAUCUGCUCUUACACCUGUGGCAUCUAAUCUUAACAAUACCUGAGAAGGCAGGUGCCGUGCAAUUAUAUCCUUGGUUAUAGAUGAGGAAACUGGGUUUUAGGGAUGCUGGGUAAUCUGCUGAAGGUUGCAGAGUUACUGGCAGAGCCAGCACUCACAAUUUAAUCUAUUUAAUUUUAAAGACUUUUAACAACCUCAACUAUCAUUUAUUCUAAUAGGUAAGGAAAGUAUGCUAUGAAUUAUGGGUAAAUCCACACUGUGUCAUUCUCUUAACGAAACUUUUUUUUUUUUUCAGGCUUGGUGUACAGUUGAUGUCUAGAAUAUAUUAACAGAAGGCUGCCCUGUAGAAGUUUUGAGUUAAUGGUUUCCAUCAACGCAGGAGUGGAAGAAGCUACUGGGGAUCAGGAAUCAGAAGUCCUGGCUUUAAGCCCUAGCUUUAGCCCUCACUGGUAAUAAAAUCAAAGCAAUUGGUCUCUUUGACUUCAGUUUCUCCACUUUUAAGGUUGACCUGAUAAUACUUGCCCUGCUUGUGAAGAGCAUGUGAAAUAAUAGCUAUUCAAAUUUUUACAAAGCAC